Non-coding RNA from Physcomitrium patens, 875 nucleotides. The record is from RefSeq and is a predicted model, not a curated record. NCBI's taxonomy places the organism in Eukaryota, Viridiplantae, Streptophyta, Bryopsida, Funariales, Funariaceae.
UGGAUCGGGCACUCCUUUCUGUUAAAGAUCUCUGCAGCACAGAUUGGCCCCUACUUGAAGAUUCACAGUGUUCUCAUUUUUCGCAGGAGUGUGAAUCCGCGCGAUCAUCAUUCCCGUGGACUUCAAGCUGAUCAUGGAGCUGCUUUGCUAUGGUUAUACUCGGGCCGCUGCCGUCCUCUCCUCUGAGUGCCGUAAUCAAGCCACUCCUUCCGUAGCCAAAAAUCCUUGUCUCCUUCAUGGGCCCAUCGGCGUGAUUGAAUUUGCAGGAUUUUGCCACAUGUCGAUCUCGUCCACUUCCAUUUACUGUUUCGGUGUUUUAUCCGCGAAUGUUGCUCGGAAAACACAUCUCAACCGUGUUCGAUUGAGCUCGUUUCGGGUUUUGUUCAAAAUUUAGAUCAAAACACAGUUUACGCAGAGAUACAAGUCAAGAGAGGAAGUCACCAAUGCAGCAUCGCUCAUCAAAUUUGCAGGUCAUUGAUGAUUUGUCAGCGGGCAAUUCUGUCACGGGGUCUUGAUCCACACACACGCCGAGGUACCAAGCAGUCUAUGGAACUUGUCUUCGACAGGAUACGAAGUUUUGUAAGAUACCUGCUGCUGCUGCUGCAACAACAUUGCCUUCUAAACAUAAAGUAUUGCACCCGGUUGGGGUUUAGGGUUUAGGCAACACACAAUGCUCAUGAUGUAGCAUAGUGUUCAGGGAUUUAGGGUUUGUGAUGCAAUACAUAGAGUUCAUAAUAGAAAAAAGGGCUUUUGCAAAGCAGACAUGACGAUGUGAUGAUGCUUUUGUUGAAACAAAUCGGCUCUAAUUAGAAAUCAUUCUUAAGCAGUUUGUGUAAUUUUUAAAAAUUGAUUAAUUUUUUUGUAUCUGAAGAGGA